AACACGGCUGCGGGUUGUAUCAUUUAAAGCAAAUGAGUAAACAGCCAAGUGACCAUUUGAACCUGGAGUUGAAUGGGGGGCCUUUGACUUGCGCUGGGUGCUGUGCACCCAGGAAGCACACGGGUUCCGGGUGGCCCGAGCUGGGUCCCACAUAGCUUACUAAGCAGCCCGGGCAGGCCUGGCCCACUGCUCCUGUGGUGACGUGCAUGUGAGGCCAUGCGCUGGAUGCUAAGGGUGCAGGAGACUGAGGGACUCUUCCUGGGACAGUGGCGGUGAGGAGGGGCCGCGAGCAGUUGUGGCCCGUGAUCUUAGCUCACUUCUGAGCCCUGUCCCCAUGGGCUGUCCUGAGGAAUUCCCAGCCUUUCAUCCCAAACACAGAAUGCACUGGCAUGUGAUACUUGAGGCUGUCAUUUCUCACCCUGAGACCACUGGGUCGCUGCUUGCUUUGUUUCUUAAGACAGGAUGUGACAGUGUAACUCACAAUUUGAAUUUUUAGAACAGGAGACUGGAUUUUGAAUUUGGGAAUGGAAAGGGUUGCACCUUGGCCAUUAGGGGGCGCUGCAGCCUCACCCAUGAAUAGCACCACCUGGCCGCAGCAGGCACCUUAAGUGGGAUGUGGCUGAAGUGCAGGGUCACACUCUCAGCGCCUGUCACCCAGGGAGACCUGCUUCUGUUCACAUGUUGGGUCGUGAGUGCGUUUUUGAGCCUGGGCCCAUUCUCCUCAGCAGUGAACGGGAAGGAUGCAUGGAAAGGGUAACAGGUGAGAUCUGUGAGAUUGAGAGCACUCCUCCCCCUCGCCAACGGCAAAUGCACAGAUUUUGCCUUUGUGUUCUUUCCUGGAUAUUUUUCAAUGAUCCUAGAGUGUGGAAUGCUUUGACAAAAUGAAUAAGUAAGGUGGCCAGGUGGGUCCGUGGUGGCGCUGGUGGGUGGCAAGGCUCUUGAGUGCUCGCCUGGUUAGCCAGGCCUGUGUGAACAGCGGUGACGUCAGCCCGCCCAUGCUGAGCGUGCCCAGUUCUUCCAGAUAACAUUCCUAAUGUGUCCUCUAGUAUAGAACCGUAUUGUCAGGAAUCUGUAGUGUGCAGAGAGCCCAGAAAUGUACGUCAAGCCAUCCUGCCUCAUAAAGACUGAAGAUGCCACAAAGGAUUUGCUGUGGAAUGUUCUAGAAAUGUGGGGGAAGGGCUUCAAAAGGAAUACACAGACACUAACUUAAACGCCUUCCUCCCUUAUGUCCUUCCAUUUGCCUGGCACUUUCUCAGAGAAAUUCAGUACGUGGUUGUGGAACACAGACUGUUUGUGUUCCUCCCUAGAAAAUUCUGAGGAGGACCUACUUGUACGGUGUGACAUUUCUGUCUCCAUGUGCUGGGGUCAUUUCUGUGAAUUACAGAGCGGUCCCUGCACUGAACCAGUGUGUUGAGCAUGGUUGAAUAGCGCAGACAGUGUUGGCAAAGACAGAGCUGUGAGUGACAUGCCAGCAGGAGUGGCACACUCCCAUUGUAGGAAAGCAACAGUGUCUGCUUCCGUUUUAUGGGGGACUUUGGGGUUUCGUGCAUGACGCUAGGACCAGGGCUCCCUGGCACACAUGCCCCAGCAUGCCCAGCGUGCACACUCAGAGCCUGGCCUCCCCCAGGUGGGCCUCUGACUCCUGCUGGGAAAGCUGGUGCUGCCCAACCUGUCUAGGGGCUCUCUGCCCAGGGAGGGUGCCCUGAAGGGGGGCAUGUGGCAGGCUGAUCCCCAAACCCCAGGUUCUCAGAGGGCAUGGCCUCACCCCACACCCACUGAGUGCUGAAGUGGGGCUGUCUGGGGUUGUGCGUAAUGGUCCUCUGGGCCAGGUGCGCACCCCCAGCAGCGGGGGAGCCCUGAGAGCUGCCUCUGCCCUCCCAGCCACUCUCAGCUGAGCCCCCCUUGUCCCUUCCUCAUGCAUUUUGGGGGACACGGGAGAGGAGGAGGAGGGGAGCCUGUUCCCCUCCUCCCACUGUCUAGAACUGCCGUUCUUUGUUUUAAAUUGUUCGCAUAGUCUUUAAGAGUGUUAAUUUUUUUCUUAACAAAUAGUCAUUAAUUGCUGCUCCGGGAUAAUCUCACCCUAAAUCACAAGUGUACAACUGACGAAAGAGGAGGAAGGCGAGGAGUGGAACGUGUAAACCCUGAGCCCAGCGCGCCUUUCACGUUCAUGGAAGCUGCUCCCCUCGAUGGUCAUGUUUCAUAUGUAAAUAUGUAUUAUAUACCCACUUUUAAUAGUCUACAUUGUGAUCCAGUGUAUUUUUUUAUUUAAUUUUCAUGUUGAUUUUGUACUAUAUGCAUGUUGUAAAUUAAAAAUGAAAGCCCGUCACACGCUGGCCCAUCCGUCUCCCUCCGGCCCCUUUCCUCCGGCCCUGCUUUCUGGACCACCAGCUCCAUGACCGGGCUCCCGGGCUUCCUUCCACAUCCACAGGCAGUGUCCUGAGGCCAACAUCAGGGGCCACAUGCCUUCUCACCCCUGUCUGCCCUGGACCCCAGAGGUCCCUGACAGCUGAGCUGCGGACCCUCCUGCCCAUGGGGAACUGGGUCUUCUGGGGAUGCUGUCCGUUUGGUGGAAGGCACGGGGAUGGGAGGGCAUGGGGUGACCGAGAGAGCUGAAUCCUGCUGAGCCGUUUGAAGUGGGCACCCUCCAAAGCCGGAGGUGCCGGGGAGUCCGGUCCGGAGGGCUGUUGCUUUGCUUCAGCCUCGGGAUUCUGGGCGCGGGAGCUCCCACUGGGACUCUUGCUCCCCGUGAAGGGUGGGCCAGAGCCUGCUGGCCGAAGGGGAGGGCUGGUGAGCAGGGGUGUGUGGGGUUUCUGAGCCCAGCUUUCACCCAGAUGGCUCUUACACCUGAACCCCUAGCUCAGGUGCAUGACUGUUUGAUGAUUGCAUGAUGUCCGAGCCCAACACUAGCUAGAUUCUUAGAAACGACCUUAAUAAAUAGUUAGCAAAUCCCCAAAUGAAGGAAACAUUCUGACUUCUGAGGAAUUCCUAUUUAAGGUGUGUGGCAAUCCUCUAUGAACAAACACCUAGUAAUGUUUUGGGGUUUGGAGUCUAGAGGCAAACGUGUUGUAUGAUAGUUAACCAAGUCAGUGUCUGUUCACACCUGCUUUGUUCCAUGCUGUAUUUAAGCCAUCCCAGUCAUGUGGACUAAUGGAAGGGGACCAGAGGUUAGCGAACCAUUGACAGCAUGGCCGAAACCACACGUGCCAGGCACUCUGCCCUGCCCGGACACCUCUCGCACGUGUCCCCCAGGGGCCCGGGAACCUGCUCCCGCGGGCCGAGGGGAAAGCGCGCCUUGACCUGCCCAUCAGUCAUUAGCAGAGAUAAUCCAGGACUCCUCUUUUAAUCGAAAACAGUCCUGUUUGCAAAUGUUUGGACAACCCAAAUCUGACCUGCAGAUACUUCCUCGACAGGAACACUUGGUAAGUGCUGAGUGUGCUGAUGCAGCCAGAAAGGUGUCCUGACCUAUAGCUCUCUAGUUUUUCAACAAUGUUUCUCCGUUUUGGAAAAAAAUAAGUUUGUGGAGAAAGAGUGUGGAGUCUUUAAAAAAACAAACAAACAAAACAUUUAGCCUACAGGAGUUUCUGGCAUUCCAUGGAGCCCCUGCCAGCCCCCAGAGGAAGGUCUGUGCUGGCAGAGCACGGGGUGCCCCCAUCAAUAAUUCAGAGGUUCUCAUGACUUCCCAUCACCCUGGGGCUAUGGGGGAGAAGAGGAAAGAGACAACCCUCCCAGGGAGAGGACCUGCCAAUUGUAGGGUGUUCACUGAUUCCAGAGCCUCAUGAGUGCAGAAACAUCUAGAAAAGCAGAGUUUGGUCCUUCAUGGUGGUAGCAAGUAAGUGCUCAAGAGUCCUGUCUCUUCUGGAAAAAUCCAAGGAGAGACCAACUAAGAAAACCAAACGGGACCCUGGCCCCCACCUUCGAAUGCAAAAGAAGUGCUUUAUCAAAUGGGAGGUGUCCCUUUGCAGGUCAGUCUCCAGCCUGAGACCCCAGGGACAGUCCCUGGGGAGCUCCCUUGGGAUGGAAGAAAGGGUGUGACUCAGUCCUAGGGGGUGUGCAGACAACCUCCCCUCUGCGUCUACCCCCCAGGGUCAGGCUUUGUUUGCAGAUUGGAAAUCUGUUACCUUGGUGCUGGAGGGGAAAACAGCUUUGAAAGCGCUCACUCCUGACCUUUCCAAAUUUGUGUUUUUAAGGAGACAGAAACGAGGCUCCUAACACGUUGGCGAUCAUCCACUAACAUUUUCAUGGGUCUUCCUGUUCAUAAAGCCUGUUAGUCUAGUGAUGAGGAAAUUAGUUUUCUGGAUUCUGAUGCAAUUUUGAAUUCUAUAACUUUAAUUUCUAAAUAGAAAUACUGACAUUGGAAAAAACAAAGAAAAAUACAACUCGAACUGUCAGUUCACAUGGCUUUAUUUCUGGCUUUCUUUGGCUGCCCCCCCCCCAUUUUCUCAGUACGUUUAAGAAAAGGGAGAGGUUAUGGUGCAGGGUUUGUUUUUACAUCUGGCCCUUUACCUGGCAAUUCCUUUUCACUCAAAUUCCACAACGUGGCCAAGUGGGGAGACAGGAGAAGGAGAAGAAACAUCUUACAAUAAGACCCUCGUGCCCAGGAUUUAGAAACAGUCUGGUGCAGGCGGCCUCUGUGGGUAGGGCGGUGCCCGGCCUGCCCGGGAGGGGGCGCGCUGCACCUGGUCAGCUGCCUGCAGGACCCUCACGCCAGCCCGGCCGCGGGAUCCCAGGUUCAGGAGAGCACAGGCACAAAAGGACCUCGCACGGAUUGCGGGUGAACCCAGAAGUACUCCUGGGGUGUCUUCCGGGGGCGACCUACCGCGGAAGCACAGAGGCGCAGGCUGGUGGUGGCGGGGCUCCUGAAGGGCAGGGAAAGGGACCUCAGGCAAGGGGCUUCGGAGACCACGCCCCUCCCGUUAACCCAAUCCCAAGGCGGCUUCCUUGGAACGCCUGGGCUGGAAGCAGGGCCAGGCAUGCGUGCUGUCUCUCAGGCGGAGGUGGAGUAGGCAAUGUCUGCAUUCUUUGGUGACUUCCUGAGGCUCCUGGCAUCCCCGGGACUGGUCUGUCUUGGUGUAGCCAUGACUGAUGCACACCGUAAGUCCCAUCUUUCUAAGAGUCACCCAAGAGAUUUCGGUGGGCCUUAAAGCUCUGUUCUAUAGAAAACACAGCACCCCUGAAAAAUGCCCAUUCAGAUCUUGAGAAUUUGCGCCCAGGAGACGUUGCUUUUCAUUAGUGCAGCCCACUAACGCUCUGAUCCCGUUCUGCCAGGAUCCUGGUGGAUUGGUAAUGGGCAGCUAGUAAUUUUUCGCCAUUGGGAUGGAAUUAUUUUGAUUGCUUUCUUUUUGCCUUUAUUGUUUUCGUGUUAAUUCUGUUGGGGUUUUUUUUGGGGGGGGUGGGAGAUUUGCUUUAAAUGUUCCAGUUUAAACCCAAAUAUCACAAUAUUCUUUGCUAACUAUUGAAGUAAUUAAGAGCCACUAAUUUCAUUUGAUUAAAUUUUUAAAAUUUUUCCUUGGUAGAGAGUUUUUCAAGGCAAACUACUUUUAUUAAAACAGGAAUAUUGUAUGUCUCUGUCUUCCUUAGAGGCUGCUUGAAACUCAGCUAACGGCCAUCCCUGUGGCUGCUGCCAGAGCUGAGGGGCAGGCAGGCUUGGGCAUCUGAGCAUCAGUGACGACGUGGGCUGGUAAAGGGCACUAGGCAGAAUUACAGGAACUUGCUGCUGGUUCAUGAAGUGUCGGCGGCCAUGGAUAAGGUGUUUCCUGCGUCCCACAUCCUGGGCUUCACCAGUGUCAGGAAGGCCUUAAUCAAGAGCUCAGGAUCAGAGCUGGAGAGAAAGCUGGAGAAUGUCCCCUGACAUUCAUGGCACAUCCUCCAAGUCCAAGACAACCACCUACAAGGAGGGGAGAAGCAGAGCAUGAGAACUAUGCCCACGAAGGAAACCAAUGCUUCCCCAGCAGAGAAUGCCCUCUACCUGAGAAGAAAGCUCCUUGGAAAAUACCAGGAAUCUCUUCAAAGAGCUCUGGAGUGAGAGAGAGACCUUUCUAUUCCAUUAGGAGUGCCCAUGGAAACCAGAGAGUUCUCCAGAAAAUGAUGUCGAAGGUUGUCCUCAGACCCCCUGAGACCUUACAAGAUCUUUUAUUCUUCACAGGCCUGUGUUAGGUUCACUGGAAGGACUACAGGGAGUAGAGCCCAUAGGGGCCCCUGAUAAUUACAACAGAGAAGUGGGUGAGAGCUGCAGGACCCUGGUGGGCUCUUGGGCAGAGCACAGAAUCCCCACUGAGUCUGGAGUACGGUAGGGCUCUGGCCUGGUGGUCUAAGGGCCCAGGUGUGGCUGGCAUCUUGGGGCCCAAGUGUCGUGGGAGUCUGAGGGCCCAGCUGGGGGCUCAGGUACACAGGAGAGCAUAAAUUUGAAAGCACAUUCUUUGGUGCUGGUAUGAUUUCUGCCCUCUUCACUGGCUGCCCACAUGUAGGCAAGCAGUUGGACCUAUCCAGGACCAGAGUUAUGAAAAGUGGAGACAUUAAUAAUUUUUUGUCAAAUCAUGCUAAUGACAUGGGAUAAUACACGGGAAAUUACUAUGCGUACCAUAUGUCAGUAUGCAAAUAUAAGUGAUCAUUGGUGAGGGAUUAUCCACAGACACCUGAUAUGUAAAUAGAGCUUGCAUUAUAAACUAGGAUAUUUAAUUUAUCCAUUUCCUGGAUACACAGGAAACAAACUUUUGAUGAUUCUGUAUACGUGAGAUGUUUGUGCCAAGCACGUGAAUGUGAUCUGGGGGAAGAUGCAUUUCUUUCUGCAAGUCCAGGAGCAUCGAGGGCCCUGGAUUACAUGGCUACUGCACGCCAGCACAGAGCAGAGCCUGAACGAAGCGAAUUAUUCUAUCUGUUGUUCUCCUCCUGUUGACAAGGCUUAAUUAGUGGUUUAUUUCAUAUUGUUCUUGGAAAACUGGGUAGCUGAUGACAUCAGUUGCAAUGGUGUGAUGCAUUUUAAACAGAUAUUUAUUUACAUAAUGUGCUAUUGCCAAAACCCAGCUCACACAGACCAGAUGUUUUUAUCGCAAACCCUUGGUAUCCGGGGAAAAAAUAAGACAGCGCAGCACGAGGGCCGUUAAACAGUGGGAUUUCAAGGAACACACUCUUUUAAAAUGCCAUUUUGAAUAUUCUCAUAAAUUUCUUAUUCUAGGAGCUACAUUUACCUGAAAGAAGACGAGCUGUUAGUUGGAAAACAAUGGUCAGGGCAUUUGAGUCAAAAUUUUGGUCAUAUUCACUCCCAUUCCAAAUUAUUUUUUGUAAUUAUUUUCCUAAAGCUGUUUAUCUAAACCUUGUGUCCUAAUGUCCCUCCGAGGAAACGAUGGGAUGAAAAACAGGGUGGGAAUUCUAUCCUAGUGAUACCAUGGGUCAGCAUUUCUUACCCCCUCUUAAUGACUCCUGUCUUGUGUCUCCAAUACCUGGUUUGCUCUGCAGACACACGGAUCCUGAAAACCCCGCUGACACUGAGUCUCGCCUAGCAUGCUCCAGUACUCAGCCCCCAGUGGCUUUCAUGGAGCCUCAGAAUCCUGCUUGACACGGUGAUGCACCCAGCUGCCUGGAGCUCUCUGUUUUUGUCUCUCUCCCUUCCUGUGCACAGAGUCUAGCCACGCCUCUGAGUAUCGUCCUGCUGCAUUGCUCCCUUCGCCUUCUCUCACUCCCGCAGGUUUGACAGGUAUGGUUUCUUUUUUCACUUCUAAAUCAUACUUUAUCUGGUUUUCAGCCCACACUGGAAUGUGCCUAUUGUUCUAGCUGCUUUUGUUGUUAUCCCACAUCUACAUGUGUUUGGGAGAUAAAUUAAUCCGUGCAUGUGAUGCUUCAAAUUAAUAUUUUUCUUAAUUUUAAAACUUAAUUUAGCUGGAGAGGGUACAGUCAUACAGACAUGCUCAUAGAUUAUUGGUGUCCCUCUAAAUUGUUAUAACUCCUUGAAAAUAAACCUGACAGUACACCUCCAGAGCCUUAAGUCAUUAAUCCUUCUUAACCUAGUCACUGAACUUCUGAAAAAUCUGUCUUAUAAAACCAGUCCCAAACUCAAGCACAAAAUCACACGCAAAGCUAGUCAUGAUAGCACCACCCCUAAGCACAUCCAAUGGAAAAGAAUCUAAACAUAAUAUUAGGAUGGUUUUAAAAAUGGAAAUAAGGGCAUCUGAGUGGUUCAGUCCGUUAAGCAUCUGACUCUUGGUUUCAGCUCAGGUCGUGGUCUCAGGGCUGUGAGAAGCACCCCGAGUCAGGUGCCGUGCUCAGUACAGAGUCUGCUUGAGAUUCCCUCUCUGCCCCUCCCCCCACUCUCACACGCUCUCUCUCUCCCUCUUUUAAAUAAAUAAAUAAAUAAGUUAGGAAAAAAUCUUUAAAAAUGGAAGUAACUACACCGAAAUAUGACAAUGAGAAAAAUAGUGCAAGCUGGGUGAGUGGUAAGAUGGAAAAAUUUCAUAAGGACUGACAGAGGCCAUGAGCUCAGAAUAGAACAGGAUGGUGAUAUGGACACCGGACACGUUGAAGUGACAUGGCCAAAAUCAUGGUAGGUGUCCUAGCUGCUGAGUGCUGCAUAACAAACGAGCCCAAGCUUAGUGGCGUAAAGCAGCCGCCAUUUGUCAUGUUCCCAUUCUACGGGUCUGGAAGUUGUUCAGAGUACAGAAGGCCUGGGGUCUCAUCUGGAAAGACUCCAAUGGCUGGGGUGACCGGAGCUUGGAAUGGGAAGCAUCUGGCAGCUUCCUCACUGAGACAUCUGGUGCCUGGGCUGGGGUGGCUUGAAGGCUGGGCUCUGCCAGGACGGUGAGCAGAGUCCCUGCACACUGGCUUUCCACAAGGCUUGGGCUUCUCACUGCAUGGGGCCAGGCUCUGAGAAGGAGCAUUCCAAGAAGGAGUGUUCCACGAGGCCACAUCGAGGCUGCAUGACUUACAUGACCUUCCUGUAAAAGUCAGGCGGUGUCGCUUCCACCACAUUGAUGGCCUGAAGCAGUCACAAGGCUGCCUGACUUCUGGGGGAGGUCGGAGGGGAGAUGACAACACAGAGAUGCCACUGUUGAGACUUGUUCAUGGAUCAGAAAUGUUAGACGUUAGUAAUGCAACUGUAAGGUCUCUUUCCGUGCGUCCGGUACAAAGGUGUUCAUCCUUAAGAGAAGAGCUCGCAACACAAAGGAGCUUUAGUGCCAAAACACUUGAUGCAAGGGGUUCUCAUAUCUUGUUUCCAGGAGAGCUAUAAAGUCAAGUGGGUAAUAACAGUCCACGCUGAAUAGUCUAAAGAUAUUUCUAUUUAAGGAGGAAGGAAUUACAUCAAAUUCUUGGUUUCUAUGAUUCAUUCGUAGAGGACAUUUUCCCUUUUAUUAACCUGUGACGAUCUGUAAGCAGAAAUUAAAACCCAUGCCACGAGUCCUGAGAUAUAACAAGCACGGAGGCUUGUUAUAUACAAUCUUACAAAGCUUCCUGGGUAUAGAUGUGAAUGCAUUAGCAGCCUGGUUUGUUCAUAUCCAUCUAAGGAUUCCAGGGGGGGAAAAUAGGAGCAGACUCAAUCCACAGAAUUGAAAGAAAUACUUCUCUCUCUCUCUCUUUCCUUCUUGAAUUUGAAAGUAAAUUUUAAAUAUUUAUAAAAAUGAAAAUCCUGCUCAUUUAGUCAUCAUUCUGAAAGCUUAUUUCCAAUUCUCCUGAUUCGGUGACCUCUCGAUAUUUUCUGUGUGUCUCUCCAAUAUCAUGUAACAUAUCUUGAAUUAUAGUUAUUUGUACAUUUAUGUAACCCAUAUUAGAUUAUAUUCUAGUAUAUUCUAUGCAUAGAGUAUAUUCUAUGCAUUUUGC
This is a long non-coding RNA of Ailuropoda melanoleuca (giant panda), 9804 nucleotides long. RefSeq lists it as uncharacterized. The record is from RefSeq and is a predicted model, not a curated record. Lineage: Eukaryota; Metazoa; Chordata; Mammalia; Carnivora; Ursidae. The transcript has 3 exons.